This 380-nucleotide unclassified non-coding RNA is filed under the name uncultured bacterium. RNAcentral describes it as "contains 16S-23S intergenic spacer region". The record is from RNAcentral.
UCCGGCUUGACGCCGGCAGUCCCCCGAGAGUCCUCAGCAUCACCUGCUAGUAACACGGGACAAGGGUUGCGCUCGUUGAUGGACUUAACCAAACACCUCACGGCACGAGCUGACGACAGCCAUGCAGCAUCUGUGCACGCUCCCUUGCGGGUCCUCCCCCUUUCGAGGUCGUACCACGUGCAUGUCAAGCCCAGGUAAGGUUCUUCGCGUUGCGUCGAAUUAAACCACAUGCUCCACCGCUUGUGCGGGCCCCCGUCAAUUCCUUUGAGUUUCAGCCUUGCGGCCGUACUCCCCAGGCGGGGUACUUCCUGCGUUAGCGCCGGCACCCAAGGGGUCGCUCCCCCAGGCACCUAGUACCCAUCGUUUACGGCGUGGACUAC